AACGCGAAGAACCUUACCUGGGCUUGACAUGCAUCGUGUCGCCGGUGAAAGCCGGCUAGUGUAGCAAUACACGCUUUGCACAGGUGCUGCAUGGCUGUCGUCAGCUCGUGUCGUGAGAUGUUGGGUUAAGUCCCGCAACGAGCGCAACCCUUACUCUUAGUUGCCACCCGCAAGGGGGAACUCUAAGAGGACUGCUCCGGGAUAACGGAGAGGAAGGUGGGGAUGACGUCAAGUCAGCACGGCCUUUAUGUCCAGGGCUACACACGUGUUACAAUGCACGGUACAAACCGUCGCGAACCCGCGAGGGGGAGCUAAUCGGAGAAAACCGUGCUCAGUUCGGAUUGCAGUCUGCAACUCGACUGCAUGAAGCCGGAAUCGCUAGUAAUGGCGUAUCAGAACGACGCCGUGAAUACGUUCCCGGGCCUUGUACACACCGCUACAGU
Molecule: ribosomal RNA, 443 nt
Filed under: uncultured bacterium
Lineage: Bacteria
Description: bacterial SSU rRNA
Rfam family: Bacterial small subunit ribosomal RNA
Source: RNAcentral